CAAGCGGAGGCUGUGGCGCUGGGGUUGGUUGGGAUGGAAGCCGUCAGGCCUGGGUUGUUGGGAAGGCUGGGAAGGCAGAGCCGUGUCUCCUGGGGGUGUUUGGAGAGCCCCCCGGAGUGGCAGUGCAGGGGAGGGCAGGGCUCACCUGGCUGUACUUCCAGAUGCUGGCUUUGGCACGACCAGCGGAGGGGCCUUCGGGACGUCGGCCUUCGGCUCCAACAACAACACGGGAGGCCUGUUUGGGAGCACCCAGACAAAGCCAGGCUUGUUUGGGUCGACGACCUUCAGCCAGCCAGCCACAUCCUCCACCAACACUGGCUUCGGCUUUGGGACAUCCACGGGGACCUCCAACAGCCUCUUUGGAACCACCAGCACUGGUGGAGGCCUCUUCUCGUCCCAGAACAACGCCUUUGCUCAGAACAAACCCGCUGGCUUUGGGAACUUCGGUACGAGCACCAGCAGUGGGGGGCUCUUUGGGACCACCAACACCACCUCCAACCCCUUUGGGAGCACCUCUGGCUCCCUCUUCGGCCCCACCAGCUUCACUGCUGCUCCCACUGGCACGACUAUUAAGUUCAAUGUAAGUUCUGGUUUUCUUCUCAGCCUGUUCAGUGUGGGGAGCAUUACAUGCUGCAGGUAUUGAUGUUGUGUCUCGGUCACUGAGGUGAAGGAGUGAGGAGUUCAAAUGCAAGUGUUCUGCAGUGGUGAGGAACUGCUGGAGUGGAAAUAGGAGGUGUAAUUAAUUCCAUAAACUAGGUUUGUUUUUCUCCUGAGCUUCACCAAGUUCUCAAACACUGUGAAAUUCCAGACUUGCUGGGUUUAGAGCUGUGUUAAUGCCAAAGGGGUAAAGCAGCUCUUAAAGCUGAGCCUUCGCAGGAAGUGCCACAGAAUUCCAGGUGAUCCAUGGCAAAUAAAGGUAAAAG
RNAcentral lists this long non-coding RNA (923 nucleotides) under Manacus vitellinus (golden-collared manakin). RNAcentral describes it as "lncRNA (ENSMVIG00005010653.1)". Lineage: Eukaryota; Metazoa; Chordata; Aves; Passeriformes; Pipridae. The record is from RNAcentral.